CAGUAGCCGCGGUAAUACAGAGGGUGCGAGCGUUAAUCGGAUUUACUGGGCGUAAAGCGUGCGUAGGCGGCUUUUUAAGUCGGAUGUGAAAUCCCUGAGCUUAACUUAGGAAUUGCAUUCGAUACUGGGAAGCUAGAGUAUGGGAGAGGAUGGUAGAAUUCCAGGUGUAGCGGUGAAAUGCGUAGAGAUCUGGAGGAAUACCGAUGGCGAAGGCAGCCAUCUGGCCUAAUACUGACGCUGAGGUACGAAAGCAUGGGGAGCAAACAGGAUUAGAGACCCCCGUAGUCCAUGUCUCUUAUAC
Molecule: ribosomal RNA, 301 nt
Filed under: uncultured bacterium
Lineage: Bacteria
Description: partial 16S ribosomal RNA
Rfam family: Bacterial small subunit ribosomal RNA
Source: RNAcentral